GUCUUAACUAGGCCACCUAAAUAUGAUUUCGGCUCAUACAAGAACAGAUGAAAAACUGUUUUAAGACU
Molecule: transfer RNA, 68 nt
Filed under: Chiton albolineatus
Lineage: Eukaryota; Metazoa; Mollusca; Polyplacophora; Chitonida; Chitonidae
Description: tRNA-Arg
Source: RNAcentral